RNAcentral lists this transfer RNA (17 nucleotides) under Scinax argyreornatus. RNAcentral's name for it is "partial tRNA-Ile". Lineage: Eukaryota; Metazoa; Chordata; Amphibia; Anura; Hylidae. The record is from RNAcentral.
GCAAGCGUGCCUGAAAG